Molecule: RNA transcript, 1911 nt
Organism: Nymphaea colorata (pocket water lily)
Lineage: Eukaryota; Viridiplantae; Streptophyta; Magnoliopsida; Nymphaeales; Nymphaeaceae
Exons: 9
Source: RefSeq, a predicted model, not a curated record
UGGGGAGCCAAGCGACAAUAUCUUUCUCCUCGAUCGCGGCUUUCUCAAGACCCAAAUAGAUAAAAAAAUGAACCCAGAACUCUGCAUUACAUUUUCGUGGCUUUGACUGCCAUUGUUCAUUCUCGUAAGGCGUGAGUUACUCGCGCAGGCCGGGGCGCGAAGGUUCAGCCAGACACACUCCCAACUAAAUCCAAGGAAAAGGAAUUCCUCGCGAGCUUUGCGUGGGAAAAUGGCCGGUUUUCCCAUGAAACUGACUGCACGCUAGUCCGACAAGGGAAGAGGGGAACAUAGACAUUAGACGCUGAGGAAGCGCGCGCGUGCUCGACGAUCAUGGGGAGCCCGGGAAAGUGCAUACUGGUGACGGGGCCUCCUGGAAUUGGGAAGACCACUCUAGUGAUGAGAGUUGUGGAGCGCCUCAGAACCGCGCUGCCCGAUUUAAAAGUACAAGGUUUCUAUACGCGUGAGAUAAGGCAAGGCUCUGAAAGAGUAGGUUUUGAGGUGGUCACAUUGCAAGGCCAGCGAGGACUUUUGGCAUCAACUACAACUACAAGACAGGCAACCAAGGUGCCAACUGUUGGGAAAUAUAAAGUUGAUAUAUCAUCAUUUGAAUCAUUGGCCUUGCCUGAGCUACAGGUCAAAGAAGAAACAGAUCUGUUUGUCAUUGAUGAGGUUGGCAAAAUGGAGCUAUUCAGCUCAUCCUUUUUUCCUGCAGUUCUGCAAGUUCUUGAGUCGAAUAUCCCAAUCUUAGCAUCCAUUCCCAUACCAAAAUUUGGUCGUGAUAUACCUGAAGUUGCAAGGUUGAGAAAUCAUCCAAAUGCAUCAGUAUACACGCUGAAUGUUGGAAACAGAGAUUCAAUUAAAGAUGAAGUGGUAGCCAAGCUAAUGAAUUUGUUGAACAAGUAGGCGUGGCCACUGCAGGGACUGCGACGAAAAACAUUCCUUCUGAAAGAGAGGACUACAUUUUUACUUCGCGCGACGGGCGGAACUAAUCCUCUCUUUCGCUUCUCCCUCUCGCCGGAAGCAGCUCGUGCCUCUCCUCCUCUUCUCUGGUUUCUCGCGCGCCACCGCCGCCUCUCAUUCAGAGUAUGAAUGGCUGAGAAGAGGAAAACUUUUUUUUCCUCAACAGGAAUACAUUCAGUGACUUCAAAGUAUUGGCUGAGAAGAUUAGAGUUUGAAGCAAUCCUCCCUCCUAAUAACUUCAAAGUAAUCAAGUGACUUUUGAAUGCGUAGCCUUAAUGAUCCGACUUCCGACAUCCAAUUGGAUUUCAAUCACUCUGAGCUUGCUACUCUCUGGUGCUUUCUCUAGCAUAUCUUUAUGGAGCAGUUUUGGUUAACAGAUGAAGGGUUUUUACCUAGCCAACAAUUGCAUCGUGUGUGCCAUUGCUGAACAAUCUUCUUCAGCCCAUAUUUGGGGAAGAUGUGGGAGGCCUCUCGUUGGUGUGUUACAGUUCCUACGGUAUCUGUUAAUAACUGGUCCUAACAGCAUCUUUGUAGAUGAGAGGACCAUUACUUGAACUUGUCAGAUAGUUACUAAGGAUCAAAGAUUUUCUCCGGUGGUGCAUUUUACCUAAGAAUACCGGUACUUUUGGGGCUUUACAGGCUUAAGAAAAGUUUAUUGUACAUUUCUUUACCGUAUGAAAGGAAGACAAUUAUAUUGCAGCUUGUAAUUCUCUGCUCUUCUGAAUUGAUAUUCAGGCUGCACGGCUGAAGCUGUUCUUUUAAUGGCCUUUUAUUUCGUUGAGCGUAGUGCUGGCUUGCCCUCAGUAAUCUUUGUCCCUAUUGCUUGACAAGGGAACCAACUGAUUUACGUUUUCUUUUGUACAAUGAACCGAAACUGUUCCUAAGUACGUUUUGCUAAGUUCAUGUUCUUUCUUGAAUGAAGACAUUUCCAGUUUCGUUUUUCUUCUUAAA